AGAGUUUGAUCAUGGCUCAGGACGAACGCUGGCGGCGUGCCUAAUACAUGCAAGUCGAGCGAGCUUGCCUAGAUGAUUUUGGUGCUUGCACUAAAUGAAACUAGAUACAAGCGAGCGGCGGACGGGUGAGUAACACGUGGGUAACCUGCCCAAGAGACUGGGAUAACACCUGGAAACAGAUGCUAAUACCGGAUAACAACACUAGACGCAUGUCUAGAGUUUGAAAGAUGGUUCUGCUAUCACUCUUGGAUGGACCUGCGGUGCAUUAGCUAGUUGGUAAGGUAACGGCUUACCAAGGCAAUGAUGCAUAGCCGAGUUGAGAGACUGAUCGGCCACAUUGGGACUGAGACACGGCCCAAACUCCUACGGGAGGCAGCAGUAGGGAAUCUUCCACAAUGGACGAAAGUCUGAUGGAGCAACGCCGCGUGAGUGAGGAAGGGUUUCGGCUCGUAAAGCUCUGUUGGUAGUGAAGAAAGAUAGAGGUAGUAACUGGCCUUUAUUUGACGGUAAUUACUUAGAAAGUCACGGCUAACUACGUGCCAGCAGCCGCGGUAAUACGUAGGUGGCAAGCGUUGUCCGGAUUUAUUGGGCGUAAAGCGAGUGCAGGCGGUUCAAUAAGUCUGAUGUGAAAGCCUUCGGCUCAACCGGAGAAUUGCAUCAGAAACUGUUGAACUUGAGUGCAGAAGAGGAGAGUGGAACUCCAUGUGUAGCGGUGGAAUGCGUAGAUAUAUGGAAGAACACCAGUGGCGAAGGCGGCUCUCUGGUCUGCAACUGACGCUGAGGCUCGAAAGCAUGGGUAGCGAACAGGAUUAGAUACCCUGGUAGUCCAUGCCGUAAACGAUGAGUGCUAAGUGUUGGGAGGUUUCCGCCUCUCAGUGCUGCAGCUAACGCAUUAAGCACUCCGCCUGGGGAGUA
This 915-nucleotide ribosomal RNA is filed under the name uncultured bacterium. RNAcentral describes it as "bacterial SSU rRNA". It matches the Rfam family "Bacterial small subunit ribosomal RNA", at positions 8 to 882 of the family's 1533-position model. The record is from RNAcentral.